AUAUGACAUAGAGGUCGCAACCAACAAGAGUACUUAGCUAAGUCGGCAGACAGCGCGGUUAAGGAAAGGGAAGGUUGCCGAAAUGUGUUUUGUGGCAAUGAAACACGUUGGUCUAGACGUGAACAACGGUUAGACUGUCGCAGCAAAAUCUGUCGGCUGCGGAGCGCUAUCGACAAC
Weissella cibaria is the source of this 177-nucleotide non-coding RNA. The record is from Rfam. Lineage: Bacteria; Bacillati; Bacillota; Bacilli; Lactobacillales; Lactobacillaceae.